GAUGAACGCUGGGCGGCGUGCUUAACACAUGCAAGUCGAACGAAGCGCUUAAGUUGAUUUCUUCGGAUUGAUUCUUGAGUGACUGAGUGGCGGACGGGUGAGUAACGCGUGGGUAACCUGCCUCAUACAGGGGGAUAACAGUCAGAAAUGGCUGCUAAUACCGCAUAAGCGCACAGUACCGCAUGGUACAGUGUGAAAAACUCCGGUGGUAUGAGAUGGACCCGCGUCUGAUUAGCUGGUUGGUGGGGUAACGGCCCACCAAGGCGACGAUCAGUAGCCGACCUGAGAGGGUGACCGGCCACAUUGGGACUGAGACACGGCCCAA
Molecule: ribosomal RNA, 325 nt
Filed under: uncultured bacterium
Lineage: Bacteria
Description: bacterial SSU rRNA
Rfam family: Bacterial small subunit ribosomal RNA
Source: RNAcentral